This 253-nucleotide ribosomal RNA is filed under the name uncultured bacterium. Its description in RNAcentral is "partial 16S ribosomal RNA". It matches the Rfam family "Bacterial small subunit ribosomal RNA", at positions 524 to 776 of the family's 1533-position model. The record is from RNAcentral.
UACGUAGGGGGCAAGCGUUGUCCGGAAUCAUUGGGCGUAAAGCGCGUGUAGGCGGUCCGGUAAGUCGGCUGUGAAAGUCCAGGGCUCAACCCUGGGAUGCCGGUCGAUACUGCCGGACUAGAGUUCGGAAGAGGCGAGUGGAAUUCCCGGUGUAGCGGUGAAAUGCGCAGAUAUCGGGAGGAACACCAAUGGCGAAGGCAGCUCGCUGGGACGUUACUGACGCUGAGGCGCGAAAGCCAGGGGAGCGAACGGG